AAUCAACGCUGGCGGCGUGCCUAACACAUGCAAGUCGAACGAGAAAGUGGAGCAAUCCAUGAGUACAGUGGCGUACGGGUGAGUAACACGUGACUAACCUACCCUCGAGUGGGGAAUAACCUCGGGAAACCGGGGCUAAUACCGCAUAACAUCUACGGAUCAAAUGCGUAAGCAGCUUGAGGAGGGGGCCGCGGCCGAUUAGCUAGUUGGCGGGGUAAUGGCCCACCAAGGCAAUGAUCGGUAGCCGGCCUGAGAGGGCGCACGGCCACACUGGAACUGAAACACGGUCCAGACUCCUACGGGAGGCAGCAGUGGGGAAUUUUGCGCAAUGGGGGAAACCCUGACGCAGCAACGCCGCGUGGAGGAUGAAGUCCCUUGGGACGUAAACUCCUUUCGACC
Molecule: ribosomal RNA, 399 nt
Filed under: uncultured bacterium
Lineage: Bacteria
Description: bacterial SSU rRNA
Rfam family: Bacterial small subunit ribosomal RNA
Source: RNAcentral